This 326-nucleotide ribosomal RNA is filed under the name uncultured Spirochaetota bacterium. Its description in RNAcentral is "bacterial SSU rRNA". It matches the Rfam family "Bacterial small subunit ribosomal RNA", at positions 28 to 351 of the family's 1533-position model. Lineage: Bacteria; Pseudomonadati; Spirochaetota. The record is from RNAcentral.
GACGAACGCUGGCGGCGUGGAUUAGGCAUGCAAGUCGAACGGUAGGAUCCUUUCGGGGAUCCGAGAGUGGCGAACGGGUGAGUAACACGUAGGUGAUCUACCCUCAAGACGGGGACAACCCAGGGAAACUUGGGCUAAUACCGGAUGUGAGUGUCCUUUUAGGACAUUUGAAAGGUGGCUUUCGGGCUGCCGUUUGGGGAUGAGCCUGCGCUCUAUUAGUUAGUUGGUGAGGUAACGGCUCACCAAGGCGAUGAUAGAUAGGCGGCCUUAACGGGUGGUCGCCCACACUGGGAUUGAGAUACGGCCCAGACUCCUACGGGUGGCUG